This is a non-coding RNA of Callithrix jacchus (white-tufted-ear marmoset), 69 nucleotides long. The record is from Rfam. Lineage: Eukaryota; Metazoa; Chordata; Mammalia; Primates; Cebidae.
GUAGCUAUAGUUUAAUAAAAACAUUAGAUUGUGAAUCUAAUAAUAGAAGCCCACAACUUCUUAACUACC